Molecule: long non-coding RNA, 8123 nt
Organism: Passer domesticus (house sparrow)
Lineage: Eukaryota; Metazoa; Chordata; Aves; Passeriformes; Passeridae
Exons: 2
Source: RefSeq, a predicted model, not a curated record
AAUGAUAAGCUUUUACCCCAAAGAGUGGAACCUGACGUAUGUCUGUAUUUUUUUCCCCUCCUUCAUGUCAGUGAAGAAUUUGGAAACUGGCAGAAGCACUCCAGGAUUAAGGAUAAUUUUUGGUAAUGGAAUAAUCAAUCGUGAGGCUUUGCUUACUGCAUUUUGGGGCAGUGGGGUCAUGCCCACCAAUAGUUCAGCAUUUUAAAUCCUUUUUAGGUCAUAUCUGAAUUAUUCAAUUUCAUUUUUUCUCCUAAAAUCAGUAGGAAUUAAAAUGGUGUAUAAAUCAGACAGCUUUUUUUUCUCCCAUUAUCUAUAAGUGAAAUAAUGAUAAUAGCAACUCGCAUUGGGAAAGUCUUGGGACUGUAUUGCAUUAAAGCUUACUGGUUAAAUAACAAUGGUUAAUGUCCAAUGAGACUGCUAAUGAAAGUAACUCCUCCAAAGGUAUUCAGUUGAGAUAAGAGUGCCCUGUUUACAACGUGAAGGCAAGUUCAUUGUAUAUGUUGUUCUACAUGUGCAAGACUUUCCCUUAGGGACUGUGCUGGGAAGUUAAAAUGCUGAAAGUUCAUAUUAACUUGGUCUUACUAUUAUUCACACAGGCAAAAGCAUCUCUAUCAAAUGAUCUGUUUAUCUGAUCUGAGCCCCCUUCACAAUGGCAUAAAUAUUAGUGUUAGGGAGUAUUUAAGAAAAACAUUUCUAAUGUAUAAAGGUCCUGUGCAUUUCUAUUGGCAUCUGCUUUCCUUCAGGGAUAGGAGCAAAGUGCUGAAGGGCAACUAGCUAGAAGGUAUCUACUGGACUUAUCAAGUGAUUAACUUACUUCAUUCUGCCUUUUUUUUUUUUUGGUACUUGCUUUAUUCUGUAUGGAAUAGUCUGUAAAUUAAUUAGUUGUAGUUCAAUGCUGACUUUGUUUGUGAUGGGAUGCUUAAGUCAUUGGACUUAACUAGUCUUCAACAAGUGUCCAAACAUUGUUUUUCAGCACUAGAAUGUAAAUUGUUUCUGUCAUUGAAUUAACCAGAUUCAGGGAAGGGAACAGCAAUGCUUUUUGAGUAUAUUGAAAUGUUUCCUUCCUUUCACAGGAGGAGAAGGGAUGGGAGGUACUUGCUGGGGGAACUACAACUCACAUUGACUAUAAUUCUGAUUUUCAAACUCAGUUGUGCCAAGUUUGUUUUCCUCAGCUCUGAAAAGGUGAACAAGGUGGUGGGUAUAAGGCUUCUUCCAAGGUAAAAGGUUCCUCUGAGGUAUUGUUUACAAUUCUUCUCUCUCACAUUUUUUGUCCCUUUUUAAUUUUUGUUUGUUUUGGUUGGUUUGUUGGUUUUUUUGUUUCUUGUUUUCCAGUACUGUUCCUAGGUAGAAGAAUUUCCUUGGUUUGUUUCCUUGUCAGCUUGUGGUUUCAGGGAGAAUUUCCUAUGAGCAUUUCACCUGUGGUGAAACAGUUCCAGAACAAUUGCACAGGGAAGUUAGAGGUAUAUAGAUGCUCUCAAAACAUUUGUAAGUGUGCCUUCAGAAAACUAGUAAAAAUAUAUUUCAAAUUCCCUCCUGCAGACCAUGUUCCAAGAUGGUUUUACUUUAAGUCUUCUCACAAGACCACAUUUGAAUGUUUCAUUCAGAUAUUUUAUUUCUUUUUAUGGUCCUGUGAUGUUACCAUUUUUUACGAUUUUAGUAACUUCUAUUUGACUACAGUAAAGUUUCAGUGAUGCAACUGUUUUUUUUUCAUAUUGGUGAGCUUGUAUAAUUGUCCUCCAAUUACACUAUCUAACUAAUGGAUCAAAUAUUAUUGAUUCAGGGUAAAGACUUACAGACAGAUAUUUGAUUUGCGUUGUUCUUGGGCUCUGGUCAGGUACUUCAUUCUUUGUACCUUGAACUGCAGUUUACCUUAAGACUGUUGCUGAUCUUUGCAAUGAACAUCUGUUCAGGUUCUGCUUUCACCCUAUAUUUUCAAAAUAAAUGUGAAAUUUUAUAUGAGAUAAGGGCUUUUUUGUGGAAAAUAAGCUUAUUGUUGGCUAGCUUCAGGGUCUUCUGUAAGAACCAUGCACACUGAAUUAAGGAGUUGCUUCAUAUGCAGCAGUUCAUUUUCUGAAGAGAGGCAGAGGGCAUUGCAUGAAAUAUUUCUCUUUCACAUUGCACCAACAUGGAUAUUUUAAUAAUGUUUUGAAUUCUGUAUUAGGUUUGGUUGUCUUGCUUGCUCAGGUGCACUUUAAGCUGUUGAAGUGAACAGACAAGCAGACAGAACCAAGCAGACUGUGGCCCAUGGAGUUCUCCCUGUGUUUCCUUAGAGAGCCAUCUCAGGGCUUCAGAUAGCUCAAAAUAUUCCCUCUGAGACCAAAUAUCAGUCAGUGUUAAGUCUUCACUCUAUGAAAAAGGUAGAGCUGAAAAUUCCCACCAGCACUCCCAAAGGUACUGGCUAGAAUAUGCAUCAGAAACAGUGGAAAUUAUUAACCAGAACUACCCACGCUAGGAUCCAAGGUACACAGAAUUGCACUCAUUGUUCUGUUGUCUUGGUAUGAGCUGCUGUGCCUGCUUUCCUCGCACUGAUAGUUCUCUGUGCUCAGAGAUUCAAUUACUCUGAUUCCUUGGCCUGAAUCCUACUUCUAAUGGAAGUAAGCGACUGACAGACUCUGAUUUUGGAUACCCUGUAGUGUACCUGAAUUAAGCUGUCUUGUCUUCUACUCUGUACAGCUGGAAGAAUAAAUGGGAGGUACUUCUGAACAAAUUCUUACAGAUUUUUGUUUUUUGUAAAGUGCUUCCUAGAGGCAGCUUCUCAGUGUUAUUAAAAUGGGAACAGGCUGGGUACACAAGUGAGACUCCGCAUAAAAAUGCAGCAGUGGAAUUAAGAACUCUGGUUUACAUGGAGUCCUGCCUGUAUAAUUUGAAAAAUGUUAUCCCUGGCUUUAUCCAGUGGCUGAAACAGUUUAUUCCUUACAAAAAGUAAAGUAAUAUAAUUUGCACACCAUUUAGAGUGUAGCAGUGUUCUGAUGUUCACUGUCUUCCCCACUGAUGUUCUUAUAAUUCUUUAAAAAAAUCACCUGUUUGAAAUAAAUGGGCAGGAGAUCUUUCUCCUUUUUUAAUGCCUUUAUUAAGAAGAAUCAGCUCAGGUGGGGAGAAAUCGACGGGUUGCACCCACGCCGCCGUUGCUCCCAGGCGUGGCACGAAGAAGGAGGAUGAUGCAGCUUUGUCCACUGGUCUGCAGACAGAGCUGGGGAGAGUCCUGCUUGUUUGUUUAACACCCCGGGAUGUCUCUUUAAUCAGUAUCUUUUGAGGUUAGGGUGAGAAACAAAAAGGUCCAAGCAGGUACGGAACUAUGCUCCCAUCCUUAGACGUCACUUAAGUCACUUGUUGGCUCGUGAUUUUAGGGGUUUUUCUUGUAAAAACUGUAAAACUGUAAAAACCCAGGGUGCAAUGCAUUUCUCAUUUGCAUGCUGGCUCUGAUGUCACUCCUAUUUUCUUUACCUUGGAGGGUCUUGUCCUGGUGUCUUCUUGGCAAGCGGCCAGCAUCAGCGAAACAAUAGUUAAUCACCGGCCAUUAACGGGUAAUUUAGGACUUUUUCUUCGGCAGCACACCCAAAGAAGUCUGACCGAUCUGACUUGGUUUUUUAACUCUGAAACUUAAAAAAAUUACAGCUUUCUGUUAAUAACACUGUUGAAGUAACUUUUAAUAAAGUUUGUGGAAGUUUGAUACUGCUAUUUUACAUUUGUCUUCUUGGGGGCAGGGUUUGUGUACCUCUUGGGCUCUAGGAGCCUAAAGAGCUGCAUAGUGAGCAGACAACUGGCUGUUGUCAGUGCUUACAUCCCUAACCUUGCUUUCUGGGCAUCCUCACACUCUGAAACUUCUGCCUUUGUAAAAUAUGGGUUGCAUAUCUGUGUACUACCAAAAUCAAUAGUGCACUUCUUCUUAAAGGUGUGUGCUGAAAAAAAUACAGAAAAUUUGACAGCGUGAGAGACUUUCCAUAAGACAGAAGUCCACGAGUCUAUGAGUUAAGGUUUAACCACAGAAUGUACAAGUGAAGAACUCACUGCUGCUAUCUGAUUCCACAGAUCAAUGCAAAAAGGUAAAAAGGAUGAAAGCAGGAAUAGAAACAAGCAAACACCAUACUAUGCUGUUGCCUGCUUUCCUUCUAGCUCUAUGUGUUGUCAAAGAUGAGUCAUAAUGGCAAAAUCAGUUUAUAGGCAAAAGGUUUGACUACUUACCUAUUCAUUCACCAUGUUUUCCAUAUCUUGCAUCAUUAUUUUAGAUUUUGGAUAAAACUGUAAGUAUCCUGGGAAAGUGUCACUGUAUGUUUACUCUCUUCUGAUAGUAAGAGUACUGGGCUAGAAGGAGCCAUAGACAAAUACUCUGAAACUCCUUUGUAAAAUGUGGAUUGCAUAUCUGUGUACUACCAAAAUCAAUAGUGCACUUCUUCUUAUAGAAGUCAUUCUUAAAACCUACUCUACCCUUUAAUAUAACAGCUUUAAGGAGUCAGAUUGCUAGCUCUGCAAGUGCAUGCAGUCAGAAGAGUAAUUUCCUCAUAGCAUACUUUACAUCUAAUAUGCAAGCCCACUGUCAAACCUCCACAAUCUUUGCCUUGGAUUAAUGGGCAUUGGUCACAGCAUAUUGAUCCCUUCCAUCACAGGUUGCUGAUGCUCUGCAACUGUUCUGCAGUUUUCAGUGCCAAUUUGUGGCUUCCUUCUGCACCAUGUCCGCACAUGAAAGGUGAAGAUACCUUCCAGUGGGAUGCCAUCAUGAAGUGCAGACUUCAGUGAGUGAUUCAAUGAGGCACCUUCUGAAGACUCAGUUGUGAGCUGUCCUUUGCCCAUCUUGAGAUGUUUCUGUGAGGCUCUUUUUUAAGAGCGAGGCAGUAAGCAGUGAUUAAAUUGCUGUAGUUACGGACAUUUUGUAACACUGCCUUGAGAGACAAGUGCAAGCAUUAGUUGGCAUCAGUGCUUAUGCUGGUAUUUCCUAAUAGCUCAUUUGAAAUUCAGGUUUUGAAGAACCACAAAGAUUGUACAAUACAGCUAUAUAUAACUUGGGUGGGAAAAUGUUCUGGAUAUGUUAAUAUUUUUGACUAAUUCUGAAACCUAGUUUCAACAGAGCAUAUUGCUUAAAAUUAAUCCGGAGUCAAACUGGGGAAAAAGGGAAGUUUUAUGGACAGCACUAUUAGAAUGAAAUAAUUCUUGUGCAGUUCAGCAGACAAAUUAUCAUUCUCUAUUUUCCUUGGUUUGUUCAUCUUUCAGAUGGGAACAAGCAAGGGAAAACUUGAUGGGUUAAGAACUUCUAAGAUUUGGGAAAUAUAAGAUAAUUUCAUAUGGAAGGGACCUACAGUGAGCAUGUAAUCCAACUGCCUGACCAGUUCAUGACUGGCCAAGUUAAAGCCUGGUAUUAAGGACAUUGUCCAAAUGCCUCUUAAAAACUGUUAGGCUUGGAGCAUCAACCGUCUCUCUAGGAAGUUUCUUCCAGUGUUUUACCACCCUCUCAGCCAAGAAAUUCUUCCUAAUAUCCAGACUAAACCUUCCCUGGUGCAACUUGGACAAUUCCCACAUGUCCUGUCACUGGUUACCAGGAGAUGAGCUCAGCACCUUAAUCUCCACUGAGCAGCUGGUGAUGCUGUGUUUGAUGCAUCCCAAGAUGCCAGGGCACACUGCUGACUCCCACUGAGCCUGCUGGCAAUCAUAUCCAUGCCUACAUGGCUGUUUCCCAGCCACUCUCCCAAUAUAUACUUGUGUCCAAUGUUAUUCCAUCCCACAUGCAGAAUCUGGCAUUUCAAAUUGAAAAAUUUCAUCCCAUAAAUUGUAGCCCAAUGCUCCUAUUUAUGUAGAUCCCUCUCCAAGGCCUCUUGUCCCUCAAGAGUCAGCAACACCUCCCAGUUUGGUACCAUUGGCAAAUUCCUAAUGGUGCAUUCAACUCCUGUAUCCAGAUUGUUGAUAAAUAUACUGAACAAAACAGGCUCUGGAAUUGAACCACAAGAAAUACCAAUAGUAUCCUUCAACUGGUCCCAGUUGCCAGCUAGAUAGAUGUAGCUCCAUUCACUAGAGUCCUUUGAGCUCUGUCCUUCAGCCAGUUUUUCACCCAGAACACCAUGAACCUGCUUAUCCCACAGUUGGGCAACUUGUCCAGAAGGAUGCUCUGAGGGGCAGUAUAAAAGCCUUACUAAAAUCCAGAAAGAAUGUGACCAGCAGGACCAGGGCAUUGAUUGUCCCCCUGUACUCAGCACUGGUGAGGUCAUGCUUCAAACCCUGCAUUCAGUUUUGGGCCCCUCACUACAAGAACAUUGAGGUGCUGCAGCAUGUCCAGAGAAAGGCAACAGAGCUGGUGAAGAGUCUGGAGCACAAGCCCUAUGAGGAGCAGCUGGGGAGCUGCUCAGAGGGAGCUGGGGUUGUUCAGUGUGAAGGAAAGGAAGCUCAGAGGGCACUUCAUUGCUCUCUACAAGUACCUGAAGUGAGGUUGUAGUGAGGUGGGGAUUGGCCUCUUUCCUCUGGUAACAAGCAACAGGACAAGAGGAAAUGGACUGAGGUUGUGCCAGGGGAGGUUUAGAUUGGAUAUGAGGAAAAGCUGCUUCACUGAAAAGGUGGUCAGGCACUGGAACAGGCUGUCCAGGAAAGUGGUGUAGUCACCAUCCCUAAAGAUGUGUGGAUGUGGCAUUUAGGGACGUGGUUUAGUGGUGGACUUGUCAGUGAUGGCUGAACAGUUUGACUUGAUGAUCUUUGAGAUUUUUUUCCAAGCUAAAUGAUUCAAUGAUUCUAUUAUCUUUCUAGGAUUUUUAAUCACAUGGCCUUGCUUUUUUUGUGCUGGGGAGGGGUUGAGGUAGGGUGAGAAGACUUCCAAAGAAGCUAUUAAAUAAGGAUAUUAAAUACUUAAUGAGACCUCACCAUAUAGGCAAGAUUUUUUACCAAAUAAGAACAGUCCCUUUCCUACAAGAGCAUUUUUUAUCCCUUCCUUCUGGUCUUUUAACUUCCUCAGUAAAUACGAGUGGGUUUGUGCUGCCUGUUCAUAGACUUAAAAUCUUUUUCAAAAGCCUGGAUUAAAUGUUAUUUGAUAUUGCUAUAAAAGCUACUCAGUGAAACCUCUUAUUCGAACACAGCUUUAUUUUUAUGUACAUUUUAGAAUUCCAAUAGUGUCUCUCAAAAUUGGUUUUGAGAAUUCUGUACAGCAAACCUAAGCCAAAUGACAAGAUGCCUUCCUUAGUACCAGACCAGAUCAUCCUAUUGCCCUGAAUACUAAAAGUGGAAAAUGACCAUGUAGUGUGUAUGCAAUAAGUGUACCAGUGUAAACCACUCCAUAGUGCAGUUCUGCCCAGAGUAUCAUGGCCAUGUGUUUAAUUGGGGAUUAUUUUCAUGUUCUUCAGUUGUGAUUGCUGGUGAUGUUACUAUCCCUAGCUGCUUCUCUCCCUUCAUGGGAGGCAGGUUUUUUGCCUUUAUGUCUUUUAUUUCAGCUCAUCCAACGUAGUUUCAGAGAUAGAUGAGAGAGAAUCUAUCAUUAAAUGCUGGAAUAGAUGUGUGUUGUUUUUUGGUUCAUGUUUUUGUUGGUUGGGUUUUUUGCUUGUUUGUUUUUGUUUUUUUGGUUUUUUUUAAGGAAGCAAUCCCGCCUUCCAAAUUUCUGCUUCUCUAACCAGCACAGAUGACCUUAGACACUGAAAGCAUUCAGUUGCACUGAAAAAAAAAGAUCAACAUCAGGAAAUAUGUUGUAAACUGCAGAAGUCUAUGAUGAAAAGCUUUCUUAAAUUUUUUUCAACUGAAAUAACUGUCUUGGGAUGGAGUACAUUUUCUUCUUAGUAACUGGUACAGUGCUGUGGUUUUUGGAUUCAGUAUGAGAAUAGUGCUGACAACACACUGAUGAUUUGGUUGUUACUCAAUAGUGCUUACCCUAAGCUGAGGGCUUCUUGAUUUUCCAUGCUCUGCCAUGAAGAGCUGCACAAGAAGGUGGGAGUAUGGCCAGGAGAGGUGAUCCAAACUGCCCAAAGGGAUACUCCAUACCACAGAAUGCCAUGCCCAGUAUUUAAACCAGAGGAGUUACCUGCAAGGGAGCUGAUGCUGCUCAAUGAUGGCACAUGGUGCAUUACUUUUUCUCUUGGAUUUUAUUUCUCUCUUCCCCCACUUACCAUUAUAUUAUUAGCUUUUCUGUUUUUUUCAAUUAUUAAACUAUUUUUAUCUCAACC